CCGCCACCGGUACGGCGGCGCAGGUGCUCGCGGCGUGCGACGCCGUCGACUACCUCGAUGGGUGGCGCCGCGACUCGGCCCUCGCGUUGGCGGU
This 94-nucleotide transfer RNA is filed under the name Virgisporangium aurantiacum. Its description in RNAcentral is "tRNA-Arg". The record is from RNAcentral. Lineage: Bacteria; Bacillati; Actinomycetota; Actinomycetes; Micromonosporales; Micromonosporaceae.